CAGUGUUACAGCUCUUUUAGAAUUUGUCUAGAAGGUCUUCUGGUCUCUAUCAGAAUGCCCCG
RNAcentral lists this small nuclear RNA (62 nucleotides) under Erinaceus europaeus (western European hedgehog). RNAcentral's name for it is "U7 small nuclear RNA". It matches the Rfam family "U7 small nuclear RNA". From Rfam's summary of the family: Animal histone pre-mRNAs are spliced by a different mechanism than nuclear pre-mRNAs and self-splicing introns. This processing involves the U7 snRNP, which contains only one RNA species: U7. The 5' end of U7 RNA is thought to base-pair to a conserved spacer element downstream of the cleavage site in histone pre-mRNA. Lineage: Eukaryota; Metazoa; Chordata; Mammalia; Eulipotyphla; Erinaceidae. The record is from Rfam by way of RNAcentral.